AGAGGUGGCAAGCGUUGCUCGGAUUCAUUGGGUGUAAAGGGUCUGUAGGCGGUCCAGUAAGUGCCUGGGGAGAUUCUCUACGGUUUAACCGUAGCGCGCCCAGGUAGACUGCAGGACUUGAGGACUGGAGGGGCAGGCGGAAUUCCCGGUGUAAGAGUGAAAUCUGUAGAUAUCGGGAGGAACACCAGUGGCGAAGGCGGCCUGCUGGACAGUCCCUGACGCUGAGAGACGAAAGCGUGGGGAGCAAACAGGAUUAGAUACCCUGGUAGUCCACGCUGUAAACGAUGAGGACUAGGUGUCGGCCCGUUUUGGGUCGGUGCCGCAGGUAACCCAUUAAGUCCUCCACCUGGGGAGUACGUCCGCAAGGAUG
This 370-nucleotide ribosomal RNA is filed under the name uncultured bacterium. Its description in RNAcentral is "bacterial SSU rRNA". It matches the Rfam family "Bacterial small subunit ribosomal RNA", at positions 527 to 896 of the family's 1533-position model. The record is from RNAcentral.